This 328-nucleotide ribosomal RNA is filed under the name Vibrio sp. MA-35. RNAcentral's name for it is "bacterial SSU rRNA". It matches the Rfam family "Bacterial small subunit ribosomal RNA", at positions 99 to 430 of the family's 1533-position model. The record is from RNAcentral. Lineage: Bacteria; Pseudomonadati; Pseudomonadota; Gammaproteobacteria; Vibrionales; Vibrionaceae.
CGGACGGGUGAGUAAUGCCUAGGAAAUUGCCCUGAUGUGGGGGAUAACCAUUGGAAACGAUGGCUAAUACCGCAUGAUGCCUACGGGCCAAAGAGGGGGACCUUCGGGCCUCUCGCGUCAGGAUAUGCCUAGGUGGGAUUAGCUAGUUGGUGAGGUAAGGGCUCACCAAGGCGACGAUCCCUAGCUGGUCUGAGAGGAUGAUCAGCCACACUGGAACUGAGACACGGUCCAGACUCCUACGGGAGGCAGCAGUGGGGAAUAUUGCACAAUGGGCGCAAGCCUGAUGCAGCCAUGCCGCGUGUAUGAAGAAGGCCUUCGGGUUGUAAAG